Mytilus californianus (California mussel) is the source of this 440-nucleotide long non-coding RNA. RefSeq lists it as uncharacterized. Lineage: Eukaryota; Metazoa; Mollusca; Bivalvia; Mytilida; Mytilidae. The transcript has 6 exons. The record is from RefSeq and is a predicted model, not a curated record.
UAUGUUUUGUCGCAUUUGUAGUCACUUGUAAAGUUACCUUCAGUUAAUAAACUUCAUUAUUUUUAUCGCCUGUCUAUUUUCAGAUUUGUUUUAAAUGGUGAUUUAAAUGACAAUUACCUGCGUGAAUCAUAACAAUAACUGUGUUUUACUAAAGCGACCUGUAAAGAAGACACUAUGAAGAAUCUGAUGUUGAUCGUUUUGAUACUGUUCAUAACUAUAGAUAUUGUGUAUUCUAGACAUGAAUGUGCGUGUUUGGCGGUUUGGGAUCCAGUUUGCUCCACAACUAAUGAGACUCACAGUAAUUAUGGUUGCCUAAGUUGCGCCCAUCAAGUUUAUGCUUGCGAUGGUGCAUGUCCAUGUGUGAAAAACUGAGUAAGAUGGAAUAAAAUAUUUUAAAUAUAUAUAUUAAAAUAUUCAAAGAAAAAAAACAUUUUCACAUU